Molecule: ribosomal RNA, 578 nt
Filed under: uncultured bacterium
Lineage: Bacteria
Description: bacterial SSU rRNA
Rfam family: Bacterial small subunit ribosomal RNA
Source: RNAcentral
CCUACGGGAGGCAGCAGUAAGGAAUAUUGGUCAAUGGUGGCAACACUGAACCAGCCAUGCCGCGUGCAGGAUGAAGGUUCUAUGAAUUGUAAACUGCUUUUAUACGGGAAAAAACUUUCGAACGUGUUCGAAACUGAUGGUACCGUAAGAAUAAGGAUCGGCUAACUUCGUGCCAGCAGCCGCGGUAAGACGAAGGAUCCAAGCGUUAUCCGGAUUUAUUGGGUUUAAAGGGUGCGUAGGUGGACUUGUAAGUCAGUGGCGAAAGCCCGAUGCUUAACAUCGGAACUGCCAUUGAUACUGCAAGUCUUGAAUAUGUUUGAAGUGGGCGGAAUGUGUCGUGUAGCGGUGAAAUGCUUAGAUAUGACACAGAACACCGAUUGCGAAGGCAGCUCACUAAACCAUUAUUGACACUGAGGCACGAAAGCGUGGGGAGCAAACAGGAUUAGAUACCCUGGUAGUCCACGCCCUAAACGUUGAAUACUCGAUGUGUGCGAUACACUGUACGCGUCCAAGAGAAAUCGUUAAGUAUUCCACCUGGGGAGUACGCUCGCAAGAGUGAAACUUAAAGGAAUUGACGG